UACGUAGGGAGCGAGCGUUGUCCGAAGUUACUGGGCGUAAAGCGCGCGUAGGCGGGCUGUUAAGUGAGAGGUGAAAGGCUGGGGCUCAACUCCAUGCAGUGCCUCUCAUACUGGCGGUCUUGAGUGCGGCAGGGAGAAGUGGAAUGGCUGGUGUAGCGGUGAAAUGCGUAGAUAUCAGUCGGAACACCGGUGGCGAAGGCAGCUUCUUGGGCCUGGACUGACGCUGAGGUGCAAAAGCGUGGGGAGCAAACAGG
RNAcentral lists this ribosomal RNA (254 nucleotides) under uncultured bacterium. Its description in RNAcentral is "partial 16S ribosomal RNA". It matches the Rfam family "Bacterial small subunit ribosomal RNA", at positions 524 to 776 of the family's 1533-position model. The record is from RNAcentral.